Molecule: non-coding RNA, 24 nt
Filed under: Arabidopsis thaliana (thale cress)
Lineage: Eukaryota; Viridiplantae; Streptophyta; Magnoliopsida; Brassicales; Brassicaceae
Source: RNAcentral
GCCGCAAUUAAGGAGGAGAACGUG